Long non-coding RNA from Panicum virgatum (switchgrass), 842 nucleotides. RefSeq lists it as uncharacterized. Lineage: Eukaryota; Viridiplantae; Streptophyta; Magnoliopsida; Poales; Poaceae. The record is from RefSeq and is a predicted model, not a curated record. The transcript has 3 exons.
UGUCUGAAUAAAAAGAAUUAAUGUUGGUGGCUCAGUGAAAUGAUCAAUGUUGAGAUAGGGAAUUCAGCCAUGGAAGCUCACUCACAAGAUCAACAAGCAUUAUCGUCAAAAAAGAUCAUAAAGCAUUCCACGGUCCUCGGCUUUUACUGGUCUUAAACUGGUUGUACAAAUGUCAUUAUUUCUCCGCUAUGCUUAAGUUGUUCUCAUUAUUCUGUAUAUACUAGAAGCUCAAUCGUUAUCUCCAAUCAUUUGUAGAUACAGAAGAGAGCAGACCACAAGAACAUCAGGCUGCGUCUAUAUGGAAUCGGCACAAAGCAAUGGUGUUAGGGCUCCUUUUGGUGGUUAGACAAACACUACAGGUAGAGGUCAAUCAUUUGCUCAUGAUGGUGUCCAAAAAAUCAACAUCGUUCUAAAUAUGUGGAUGUGGUUGUGCAAUUAUUCUAUUAUUUACAGGUACCAUAAAUCUGGCAUUGAAAUAUACUAAAGUAGCAAUUUUGGUGAAGCCAUCAAAGCAGCUCCAAGUGUUAUUUUGUUAUUGACAUCUUGUUUGACCUCUGGUUUUUCUAGGAUUGAAUAUUUCAUUUUCUGGGAUUGCAAGUCAAGUUACCGUGAGUUUCUGACAAGCUGAUGUUCCCCCAUCAAAUUUGGUGAGGCUUUGUCUACUGUUGUUCAAAUGUGACUGAACUAAAAUGCAUAUGGAUCUGAAUUUCAGCUUCAAAUAACCUUCCUCUUUCUUGGUGCUUGAUAUCUAGCUAUUUUACUAUUGCUAUUAGAAAUAGCUGAACUUAUGUAGCUUUCACACAACAUUACUUCUAUAAUUGCAAUGCUGGAGCUUUUGGUUA